This 737-nucleotide ribosomal RNA is filed under the name Salmonella enterica subsp. enterica serovar Agona. Its description in RNAcentral is "partial 23S ribosomal RNA". It matches the Rfam family "Bacterial large subunit ribosomal RNA", at positions 1 to 780 of the family's 2925-position model. The record is from RNAcentral. Lineage: Bacteria; Pseudomonadati; Pseudomonadota; Gammaproteobacteria; Enterobacterales; Enterobacteriaceae.
GGUUAAGCGACUAAGCGUACACGGUGGAUGCCCUGGCAGUCAGAGGCGAUGAAGGGCGUGCUAAUCUGCGAUAAGCGCCGGUAAGGUGAUAUGAACCGUUAUAACCGGCGAUACCCGAAUGGGGAAACCCAGUGUGAUUCGUCACACUAUCAUUAACUGAAUCCAUAGGUUAAUGAGGCGAACCGGGGGAACUGAAACAUCUAAGUACCCCGAGGAAAAGAAAUCAACCGAGAUUCCCCCAGUAGCGGCGAGCGAACGGGGAGGAGCCCAGAGCCUGAAUCAGCAUGUGUGUUAGUGGAAGCGUCUGGAAAGGCGCGCGAUACAGGGUGACAGCCCCGUACACAAAAGCGCAUGUGCUGUGAGCUCGAUGAGUAGGGCGGGACACGUGGUAUCCUGUCUGAAUAUGGGGGGACCAUCCUCCAAGGCUAAAUACUCCUGACUGACCGAUAGUGAACCAGUACCGUGAGGGAAAGGCGAAAAGAACCCCGGCGAGGGGAGUGAAAAAGAACCUGAAACCGUGUACGUACAAGCAGUGGGAGCACCCUUUGGGGUGUGACUGCGUACCUUUUGUAUAAUGGGUCAGCGACUUAUAUUCUGUAGCAAGGUUAACCGAAUAGGGGAGCCGGAGGGAAACCGAGUCUUAAUUGGGCGUUAAGUUGCAGGGUAUAGACCCGAAACCCGGUGAUCUAGCCAUGGGCAGGUUGAAGGUUGGGUAACACUAACUGGAGGACCGAACC